AAAAGUUCUAGGAGUCCCCACCCGACCCAGAAGGCCAGCUGCCUUCACCUCUCACUACCACGAAAGUAGUAGAGCUUGGGUUUGGCUGCCAUGACUCCUGGCUCAGGGUUUUCAAGGACACAGAUGAAGAGAUGCAGAGGGUGACAUACGGGGCAAGAUGCCUGGAUUUCCUGUGCCCUCCCCAGGUAUAAAAAGACAAUCUACUGUGAAGACCUUAGAUGUCUCCAUCCUCCUGCUCCAGAAGUUCCAUCAGAUUCUUUCAGGCUCUAGAAUGGGAAUGUCUCUCUGUGGUAUGCAAGCAAUGCCUCCACUAACUGACUGCCCAGGCUAUGAAGUCGAGACCAUGAAGAUCACCAUUCUACACUCCGUGUCCCCUGCUUUCUCUGUGAAAAUGUUUCAGCAGAGACAUGUAGUAAAAUUAAACCUGUGAACUGUUUUAUCACAACCCUUCAGCUAUGAAAGCCCUGAGCCACUGAGUCUGAAUAAGAGUACAACCAACUCUUGCAGAAAACACAGUUUUUUCAUGUGUACGUGGAGCAUUAACCAAAACCAACCUUUGUCAAGGCAUAAAAUAUAUCACAAUAAACACCAAAUAAAUGAAA
RNAcentral lists this long non-coding RNA (602 nucleotides) under Homo sapiens (human). RNAcentral describes it as "HSALNT0380332". Lineage: Eukaryota; Metazoa; Chordata; Mammalia; Primates; Hominidae. The record is from RNAcentral.